This 235-nucleotide long non-coding RNA is filed under the name Elaeis guineensis (African oil palm). RNAcentral's name for it is "long non-coding RNA (EGUI_LNC029670)". The record is from RNAcentral. Lineage: Eukaryota; Viridiplantae; Streptophyta; Magnoliopsida; Arecales; Arecaceae.
CUUAACUCCCACCGCAUUGCCCCUCGCCUCCCUCCUUUCUGUCGCCACCACUACUUCACCUUCGCCGUGCUAUUCCACUACCAUGAGGAUUUAAUUUUGGAUUUUUCUUGCUUUCAGACUUUCAGUGUUAAUAAAUCUAUAUUUUUGUGGGUUAAUUGUUAAAUUACUUGACCUUAUAGAUGAUGGAUUAAAUAUCUACAUAUCAAACAGCUGUUGGCUCGAACUCAAUGCCAUC